UGGCUCAGAACGAACGCUGGUGGCGUGUCUUAUACAUGCAAGUCGAGCGAGGCAGCAAUGCCGAGCGGCGAACGGGUGAGUAACGCGUAAGCAAUCUGCCCCAUAUCAGGAAAUACCCGUGCCAACGCGCGGUUAAUGUCCAGGAGAGUGGCCCCCUGCAUGGGGGGUUGACUAGAGAUUUAUCGGUAUGGGAUGAGCUUGCGUCCGAUUAGCUAGUUGGCGGGGCAACGGCCCACCAAGGCGACGAUCGGUAGCCGGCCUGAGAGGGUGAUCGGCCACAUUGGGACUGAGAUACGGCCCAGACUCCUACGGGAGGCAGCAGUAGGGAAUAUUGCACAAUGGGGGAAACCCUGAUGCAGCAACGCCACGUGUGGGAAGAAGCAUUUCGGUGUGUAAACCACUGUCAUGAGGGAAUAAGGCCCGCCUUCGGACGGGAUUGAAUGUACCUUGAGAGGAAGCACCGGCAAACUUCGUGCCAGCCGCUGC
Molecule: ribosomal RNA, 486 nt
Filed under: uncultured bacterium
Lineage: Bacteria
Description: bacterial SSU rRNA
Rfam family: Bacterial small subunit ribosomal RNA
Source: RNAcentral